GCUGGAGAACUGAGGGGGGCUGCUCCUAGUACGAGAGGACCGGAGUGGACGCAUCACUGGUGUUCGGGUUGUCAUGCCAAUGGCACUGCCCGGUAGCUAAAUGCGGAAGAGAUAAGUGCUGAAAGCAUCUAAGCACGAAACUUGCCCCGAGAUGAGUUCUCCCUGACUCCUUGAGAGUCCUGAAGGAACGUUGAAGACGACGACGUUGAUAGGCCGGGUGUGUAAGCGCAGCGAUGCGUUGAGCUAACCGGUACUAAUGAACCGUGAGGCUUAACCUU
This 278-nucleotide ribosomal RNA is filed under the name Escherichia coli. RNAcentral's name for it is "partial 23S ribosomal RNA". It matches the Rfam family "Bacterial large subunit ribosomal RNA", at positions 2652 to 2925 of the family's 2925-position model. Lineage: Bacteria; Pseudomonadati; Pseudomonadota; Gammaproteobacteria; Enterobacterales; Enterobacteriaceae. The record is from RNAcentral.